Long non-coding RNA from Gallus gallus (chicken), 2769 nucleotides. The record is from Ensembl. NCBI's taxonomy places the organism in Eukaryota, Metazoa, Chordata, Aves, Galliformes, Phasianidae.
GAGCCGAGGAGCUUUGGGGCUGAGGGAGUGUUGUAGCGAGCGGGCGCCGUCAUGGCCGGCGGGAUCGUUAGGUCGCCGGUCGCCUGGCGCGGUGGCGCCGCUCUCUUGGGAAAAGUCGCCCGCCAGGAGUUCUCUGCCAACGUUAUCCGCGAGGAGGAGCCGUUGUGGACGAGGAGUGCCUUGCGUUCCAUGAUAUUUCACCGCAAGCUCCUACGCUUUUUUCCUAGCCGUUCCUGAGAAGGCCGUUGUGAGGUUAUCCGGAGCAGAAGAUUGUGGCGCACCUCUUCUUGGCCGUUUGAUGAUUGUUGGCGAGAAGUGUGCUGCUAACCUGGGCCUGACCAAUGGAUUCCGGAUGGCUGUGAGAUACCCACCCUCAGUCCCUUCAGACUACCGCGCACGUCUCUGUAUUCUGGAUGGCCGUCAGUUGGGCCAGCCUCCUGGCUAAGAUGUUUGCACCGCAGGAGUUGCUGCACGCGUACGGAUCGCCACCGAAUGGAUUUCACGUGUUGCCCGUCAGCCUAGCCACCGUUGACAUAUAAUUGUUUUUGGUGGGUGUCUGUGGAGGGCAAUGAAAAGCUUUGAGCAGCAUUUGCACAAUAAAGAUGGAGCAUGGGGAUAUCAUCUCUGUCUCUCUUGUCUUACUGAUGGAAAUGAUUCUGCAAGUUAAAACGGUGGGUCUCCGUCUCCCAAAGACAAUAUAGGAUGUGCUGUGUGUUUGAGGCCUUGCCGUCUUCCCCCAGCUUCCAAAUAAAAGGGCGUGGGUUUUAUCGCGUACUAGCAGCAUCGACAAGCAGCAGGCGUAGAAUUAGAGAAGAAUAACGUAGGAAGAAUGCUUCCAGCUGUCGUCUGAUGUAUGGCCCCGUCCCGAGGCCGAACAAACUCCACCCGCAUGAUUUCUGACCGGUGCACGUCAGCCUGUUUUUAAGCAAUCUCGGAGUUUUGACACUGCUUUCUUUUCAGUCGCGGAUUUUGCGACGUAGAGAAAUAAUUUCUCCCUCGGAAACUUUCCCAAAUGGAAAAGACUUUGUGAUACUUGAGUCGGCGAUUGUUGCGCUUCUGCUGUCUUUGAGACUCAGCUGCCCUUCUCCAUUUCUCUGUUUUUAAUAUGAACAAAACAUUAAAAAAAAAAAAAAAAAAAAAAAAAGGAGUAUUGUUCCGUAACCAGAAGGAGGAGUAGCUACAGGCACCGUAAGGCUUUUACAUGUAAUCACCUCUCGCGCUUUGUUAGGCCUCUGGCUUUGCUUGAGUCUUUGUUGAAUUGCGAUUGCAUUCAAGGCUUACUGGAGUGGGGGAGUUUCAAAAUGCUAAUAAAUAUUUGCAUUAGAAAUUAAAGACUUGAAACUUGCUAAAUGAAAUUAUUGUGCGGCCGUUCCUCAAAGAAUCUCGAUUUGUCAGCAGUAGAUCCGCUUGCGGGACUGACGAUCGCAGCUGUGAAUGACUCUGAAUUAAACUGUUUGAAGAAGCGGAAUAAGACAACUUGUUACGUUUUUCUGAAUAUCCAACCUGAAGCUCCCCCCGGCGCAGCGCAAGGCCGUUACCUCUUGUCCCGUCGCUAGUUACCUGGGAGAAGCGGCCAACCCCCACCACGCUACAAGCACCUUUUGGGUAGUUGUAAAGAGGCGAUAAGGUCUCUCUCCCCUGAGCCUCCCCUCCUCCGGACGAAACAAUCCCAGUUCUCUCAGCCGCUACCCAUAGGUCUUGUGCUCCAGUCCCUUCACCAGCUUUGUUGCCCUCCUCUGGCCACGCUCCAGAGCCUCAACGUCUUUCUUGUAGUGAGGAGCCCAAAGCUGCACGCAGUACUCGAGGAGCGGCCUCACCAGCGCCGAGUACAGAGGGAUGAUCACCUCCCUCGUCCUGCUGACUACAUGAUUUCUGAUCCAAGCCAGGAUGCCGUUGGCCUUCUUGGCCCCCUGGGCACGCUCCUGGCUCAUGUUCAGGCGGCUGUUGACUAAUGCCUCCAGAUCCGUUUCCUCCGCGCAGCUUUCCAGCCUCUCUGCCCCGAGCCUGUUGCGUUGCAUGGGGUUGUUGUGAACAAAGUGCAGGACCCGGCGUUUGGUCUCGUAGAUGCUCCUGCAAUUGGCCUCGGCCCAGCGAUCCAGCCUAUCCGGAUCCCUGUGUAGGGCCUUCCUACCCUCAGGCAGAUCAAGCCUUCCUCCCAACAUGGUGUCGCCUGCAAACUUACUGAGGGUGCGCUCAAUCCCCUCGUCCAGAUCAUCAACUGAAAUAGAAAUCAGGACCGGACCAAACGCUGACUCCCUGGGGAACGCCGCUAGCAUACACCGCCAGCUGGAUUGAACUCCAUUCAGCACCACUCUCUGGGCCUGGCCGUCCAGCCAGGUUCUGACCCGGCAGAGUACACCUGCCCAAGCCAUGGGCUGCCAUCUUCUCUGGGAGAAUACCGUGGGAGGCAGAGUCAAAGGCUUCACUGAAGUCUAGGUAGACUACAUCCACAGCCUUUGCCUCAUCCACUAGUCGGGUCACCUGGUCAUGGAAGGAGAUCGGGUCGGUCAAGCAGGACCUGUCUUUAAGGAACCCGCGCUGGCUAGGCCCGGUCCCCUGGUUGUCCAGCACACGCCCUGUGAUCUCACUCUGGGUGAUCUCCUCCAUGACCUUCCCCGAUACUGAGGUCAGGCUGACAGGCCUGUAGUUCCCCAGAUCCUCCAUCCGACCCUUCUUGGAGGUGGGCGUCUGUGUGGCUCCAUGUAUCGGUAGCAAGACAGUUCGUUAUAUACGUAUACCCGAUGUGAGAUUAAAACUCAGAAAGGUGAC